This 300-nucleotide ribosomal RNA is filed under the name uncultured Bacillus sp. Its description in RNAcentral is "bacterial SSU rRNA". It matches the Rfam family "Bacterial small subunit ribosomal RNA", at positions 496 to 795 of the family's 1533-position model. The record is from RNAcentral. Lineage: Bacteria; Bacillati; Bacillota; Bacilli; Caryophanales; Bacillaceae.
ACUAUCGUCAGGGCGGAGUCCGGAGAAAGAGGAAGGGGGUAAGCGUUAGUCUGAAUUAGUGGGAGUAAAGGGUGGGUAUGUGGUGAGUUAAGUGCGUCGGUGAAUCCCCGGGCUCAACCUGGGAAUAGCGAUGGAUACUGGCGAGCUAGGGGGUGUCAGAGGAUGGUGGAAUUCGCGGUGUAGCGGUGAAAUGCGUAGAGAUCGGGAGGAACAUCAGGGGCGAAGGCGGCCAUCUGGGACAACACUGACGGUGAAGCACGAAAGCGUGGGGAGCAAACAGGAUUAGAUACCCUUGUAGUC